AUCUAGCCGACCAGUCCUGAAUAAGACGAAGCACGUUUCCUGGAU
This 45-nucleotide non-coding RNA is filed under the name Schistosoma mattheei. The record is from RNAcentral. Lineage: Eukaryota; Metazoa; Platyhelminthes; Trematoda; Strigeidida; Schistosomatidae.